AGUUCACUAUAAAUACCCCUUCCCCUGUGUUAUUUCACUCUUCAGCUCCUAAAUAACACAGCGCCCUCAGUAAAAAAAAAAAACACAGCUCCCAAACAAAAUCCCAUUCUCGACGAUAUUGAACAAACAACCAUCGCCGAUAUUGAACAAAGAACUGUCGCCGUCGCCGAUAGAGCCAACCGUCGCCGUUGCCGUCGCAGAUAAGAGCCUACCGUCGUUGAUUCAAACCCAUUCUCGACGAUUCGAACCCAGUUGUCACCGAUUCGGAGCCAUUCUCGACGAUUCGAACCCAGCCGUUGCCGAUAGAGCCAACCGUCGCCGUCACCGUCGCAGAUAAGAGCCUACCGUCGCCGAUUCAAACCCAUUCUCGACGAUUCGAACCCAGUCGUCACCGAUUCGGAGCCAUUCUCGACGAUUCAAACCCAGUCGUCGUCGAUUCGGACCAUUCGCGACGAUUUGGAUUCGAUUCCAAGCGCUUCUGAUUUGCCUAAGGCCAACGAUCUCAGCUCCAUUGUACACAACACCGUCCAUGAUGUUGUAGAGGAAGGGAGACCAGAGCAGUGGGUUGAAGUGAUCUCUUAGGAGCCUGGAGCUUUUGUUUACCACAAUUUCUUGCUUUCUCUCUUUUGUGGCUGAAGAAAUUGUGAGGAACAAGGUGAAGAACACAAGUUAACUUUGAAUUUUUUCUGAAAGUUGUAAACUUAGCUUGAGCAAAAUUUCUUAUUGGUGGCUUUAGGGGAUUUCCUUUAGGCAUUAUUUGAAGACAUAUGAGGACAUCUUCCGUUGGUUUUAAUUAUAUUAUGCUACAUUUUUUGUAUUGUUAUAAAACAUCUUAAGUUAUUGUAUUUGUUGCAAACAAUUAUUGUAUGGAAGGAGUUUGAAUUGAAUACUUGUUUUAAUUUUAA
Quercus robur (English oak) is the source of this 905-nucleotide long non-coding RNA. RefSeq lists it as uncharacterized. NCBI's taxonomy places the organism in Eukaryota, Viridiplantae, Streptophyta, Magnoliopsida, Fagales, Fagaceae. The transcript is spliced from 5 exons. The record is from RefSeq and is a predicted model, not a curated record.